GAUGAACGCUGGCGGCGUGCUUAACACAUGCAAGUCGAACGAGAAGUGAAGACGGAAACCUUCGGGCGGAAGGCUUUAUUUCGAGUGGCGGACGGGUGAGUAACGCGUGGGUAACCUGCCUCAUACAGGGGGAUAACAGUUGGAAACGACUGUUAAUACCGCAUAAGACCACAGCACCGCAUGGUGCGGGGGUAAAAACUCCGGUGGUAUGAGAUGGACCCGCGUUCGAUUAGCCAGUUGGCGGGGUAACGGCCCACCAAAGCGACGAUCGAUAGCCGAUCUGAGAGGAUGACCGGCCACAUUGGGACUGAGACACGGCCCAAACUCCUACGGGAGGCAGCAGUGGGGAAUAGUGCACAAUGGGGGAAACCCUGAUGCAGCGACGCCGCGUGAGUGAAGAAGUAUUUCGGUAUGUAAAGCUCUAUCAGCAGGGAAGAAAAUGACGGUACCUGAGGAAGAAGCCCCGGCUAACUACGUG
RNAcentral lists this ribosomal RNA (478 nucleotides) under uncultured bacterium. RNAcentral describes it as "partial 16S ribosomal RNA". It matches the Rfam family "Bacterial small subunit ribosomal RNA", at positions 28 to 507 of the family's 1533-position model. The record is from RNAcentral.